AAUGAAUACAAGUCAUUUACUUUAAUUAAGCUAAGCCCUUCCUAGACUGAUGGGCUUCAAACCCAUGAAAUGUUAGUUAACAGCUAAACACCUUAGUCAACUGGCUUCACUCUACUUCUCCUACAGCAGAUCAGAAGAGCA
Long non-coding RNA from Myotis davidii, 141 nucleotides. RefSeq lists it as uncharacterized. NCBI's taxonomy places the organism in Eukaryota, Metazoa, Chordata, Mammalia, Chiroptera, Vespertilionidae. The record is from RefSeq and is a predicted model, not a curated record. The transcript has 3 exons.